RNAcentral lists this long non-coding RNA (817 nucleotides) under Physcomitrium patens. Its description in RNAcentral is "long non-coding RNA (PPAT_LNC007962)". The record is from RNAcentral. Lineage: Eukaryota; Viridiplantae; Streptophyta; Bryopsida; Funariales; Funariaceae.
CUACCAACAAGAUGAUUGGACAACUCUUUUGUCAUUGGCAGAGUUUUCUUACUAUAACACGGUGUUUUAAUACGUGAAGUCUUGCUUGAGAAUUCUCAGGGCAUCGAGCUAUAGAAGAAAGAAUAGAAAUUAAAAUAACAAAAUCCUAAUUCUAAUAGAAUACUAAUUAUACUAUAAUUAGACUAUAAUUAUGUUAAACAAGCUUAAUCAAAUUCAAAAAAAUCUCAAAGAAAUAUUUCUUAAAGAAAUAUUAGAAGAAUCACAAAUAUCACUUCAAUACAUCUCAAUUCAAUCUUAAUUUAAUUCUAGUUAAAAUCCUAUUGAACUUCAUUCAAACUUUAGGCCAAAACUACUUGAAUCUUAAAUCCUAAUAAAAUCCUAAACCCUGAAUCAUAUCCUAAACAAACCUUACAGGAAACUACAACCAAAUCCUAAAUCAAAUCCUAACCAAACCCUAAACCAAAUCAUAAAUCCUAAAUCAAACCAUUACCAAAUCCUAACCAAAUCCUAAACCCUAAACUAAAUCCUAAUCCAAAUCUUAAACCCUAAAUAAAACUAAAUCUAAAUCCUAAACUCUAAAUCAAAUUCUAACCAAACUCUAAAUCCUAAAUAAAAUCUUAACCAAAUCCUAAACCAAAUCCUAAAUCAAACCUUAAUAAAAUCUUAAACCCUAAAUAAAAUCCUAAAAAAAAUCCUAAAUCCUAAACCAAACCCUAAACCUUAAAUCAAACCCUAACCAAAUCCUAAUCAAAUCCUAAAUCCUAAAUCAAAUCCUAAAUCCUAAACUAAACCCUAACCAAAUCCUAAACCCUAAACC